UACAUGCAAGUCGAGCGCGAUCUUCGGAUCGAGCGGCGAACGGCUGAGUAACACGUUGGUAGCUACCCCGCACUCAGGGAUAACACACAGAAAUGUGUGCUAAUACCGGAUGGUCCCGAAAGGGUAAAGAAUUUCGGUGCGGGAGGUGCCUGCGGCCUAUCAGUUUGUUGGUGAGGUAAUAGCUCACCAAGACUAUGACGGGUAGCUGGUCUGAGAGGAUGAUCAGUCAGAAUGGAACUGAGACACGGUCCAUACUCC
This 258-nucleotide ribosomal RNA is filed under the name uncultured bacterium. Its description in RNAcentral is "partial 16S ribosomal RNA". It matches the Rfam family "Bacterial small subunit ribosomal RNA", at positions 52 to 339 of the family's 1533-position model. The record is from RNAcentral.